GAACAGCGAACCUCCAGUAAGCCAUGUGAACCUGCAGCCCUCCCAGAUGCUCUCUGCAAGUUCACACCAAAAGCCUCUCCAAAGUCAUCGUGGAGAAUAAGUACACCCCCAGAGGCUUUUGCAAGAGGCUGCAGAACAGGCACUCUUACUGGACAUGUUCCUGCACAUAAUACAUCGAUAACUGUGUUCGACAGGCACUCUAACUGGACAUGUGCCUGCACAUAAUAUAUCGAUAACUGUGUUCUUCCUAAACGCCUCACGACCUAGGGUUUCCAUCCACUUCAAUGAAAUUUUCUCCAUGUGAGCAUAGUUAGGAUGAGAAAAAGAAUACG
This 332-nucleotide long non-coding RNA is filed under the name Nicotiana benthamiana. RNAcentral describes it as "long non-coding RNA (NBEN_LNC018851)". Lineage: Eukaryota; Viridiplantae; Streptophyta; Magnoliopsida; Solanales; Solanaceae. The record is from RNAcentral.